UUCCUGGAUGAUUUAUUUGGUCAUAUUUUGUUGGAUGACUUGUCCUGGUACGGAUUCAUGAUUGUGGUUGGAUUGCCUGAUGGAUUGUGUUAUUACGGCUUCUGUUUUGGAAUAGUUUCUUCGUCGCUAUGGGGCUUUAAUCUUGAUGUAGGAAAUGAACUUCUGUUUUGUCUGUGACUGUUGGAAAAUCUAAAAAAAAUAUGACCAAAUAAAUCAUCCAGGAA
RNAcentral lists this unclassified non-coding RNA (224 nucleotides) under Hevea brasiliensis (rubber tree). Lineage: Eukaryota; Viridiplantae; Streptophyta; Magnoliopsida; Malpighiales; Euphorbiaceae. The record is from RNAcentral.